AAUAGGUUUAAUUUGAAGAUAAAAUCACUUGCUUCUUCUCCUUUCUUUCGUUCUUCCCAGCCUGAUACUCUCUCUCUCUCUCUCUCUCUCUCUACAUUCUUUUGAGUUUCUGCUGGCACUUCUCACUGCUAUCGUGCCAUCGUGAUUGAGGGAAGCUAGUGAGUCUCUCAAUCCUCUAUCUCUCUCUCUCUCUCUCUCUCUCUCUCUCUCUCUCUCUCUCUCUCUCUCUCUCUCUCUCUCUCUCUCUCUCUCUCCCCCCCCCUUCUUAGUCCUUGAUUAGGUUGCCCCACUGUCACGCCGCCGCAGCCUGAGCUCAACAGCCAUUUCCUCGACUUGUCUCCAUUGUAUUUCACCGUUGUAUGUGGGGGUCUCAACCUGAGCGUAACAGAGGGCCAUCUCCUCAAUUAGGGUUUGUCGAAGAGCUUAUUGUAAAUAGUUGUUAAUCCUAUUACUUUGUUCUAUGCUCUUAUUUCUAUUUUAUAUGACUAAUAUUUUGAUAAAUUGUUAGAAAGUUAAGGAAAAACAAGAGAAUGUAGGAGAUAAGGUAUGUGGAUGAUGAUGUUGAUUAAAAUGUAGUGCUUUGUAUUUGUAAAGAUCUUAUGGAAGAGUUAGGGAGAAUUUAAUUUCGUCAUAUAUUAUGCUGAUAGGUUAUACUCUCUCUCUCUCUCUCUCCAUGUGGUCUUAUGUGAUAGAUCCUUUCAUUUGGGAUUUGUUCGUUGCUAAUCACCCGAGAUUUUAAAUAGUUUUUGAACUAA
Molecule: long non-coding RNA, 755 nt
Organism: Carya illinoinensis
Lineage: Eukaryota; Viridiplantae; Streptophyta; Magnoliopsida; Fagales; Juglandaceae
Exons: 2
Source: RefSeq, a predicted model, not a curated record